Molecule: long non-coding RNA, 835 nt
Filed under: Ictidomys tridecemlineatus (thirteen-lined ground squirrel)
Lineage: Eukaryota; Metazoa; Chordata; Mammalia; Rodentia; Sciuridae
Description: lncRNA (ENSSTOG00000029970.1)
Source: RNAcentral
AUUCAAGGCUCAGUGACCUCAGCCCCUGUUCCUCCAGUGCAAGCUGGGAGUGAUACUAUCUGCUCUGCCUAGCUUUUGUGCUAUUGAUAGGCUCAAGCCAGAUGAAGGAUGAUCAUGUUUUGGGGAGGGUUAUUUCAGUUCAUGAGAAACUUUCUAAUCUUGCACAAAUAGCUGAACUAUCAUUGCCAGCAACUCCUGAAAAUACUGCAAAUGAGGAUAUAUAUAAAGUGGAUGAAACAGAAGAGAAACCAAUUGGUAAAGAUAUAGAAAACAUGAUUCUUGAAUGCUGCUCUGAAAUAUUAGCUCUGUUUUUGAGUGACAGAGAGCCAACACCAUUAACUGAGGUACCAUUUGAUAUCUCGCUGCCUUCUAUAUUCAAUCUUGAGAGACUUUUCGAUCUUGCUAAUGGCUGUAUUAUAUCAGGAGGAAGCCUUUUCAACUGGAUAGUGUCGAUUAUUUCAUGACCUUCCUUUCCAGGGGAUGAAUAAAACUGAGAAAUCAAUCAAAAGUGUGACAUCAGAUUGAAGAAUUUUUAAACAGUAUCUAUGAGCCUUUGGAAAUGUGGUGAGAAGAAAUGAUUAUGAUUCAAUAUACUGCUUCCACAGAAAGUUCCCAUUCAGACUUGGAUCUUACCCCAUCUGAUUACUUAUGAUGUAUGCAGAUACUCCAGAUAUUGUUUUGAGUUUUUGCUAUUAUUUACACUUUUGUAAGUUUCUUUAGUUUGCUUUUAUUUUGUCCAACUAAUCAAUUUUCUUAGUGUAUUGCUUCAACUUCCUGAUUCUCUCCUGUGUUUUGAAAAGAAUAAACAUUUGACUAAAUUAAAACUACAUUCUGA